RNAcentral lists this ribosomal RNA (296 nucleotides) under Salmonella enterica subsp. enterica serovar Rubislaw. Its description in RNAcentral is "partial 16S ribosomal RNA". It matches the Rfam family "Bacterial small subunit ribosomal RNA", at positions 1 to 293 of the family's 1533-position model. RNAcentral also lists the same sequence under 4 other names. The record is from RNAcentral. Lineage: Bacteria; Pseudomonadati; Pseudomonadota; Gammaproteobacteria; Enterobacterales; Enterobacteriaceae.
AAAUUGAAGAGUUUGAUCAUGGCUCAGAUUGAACGCUGGCGGCAGGCCUAACACAUGCAAGUCGAACGGUAACAGGAAGCAGCUUGCUGCUUUGCUGACGAGUGGCGGACGGGUGAGUAAUGUCUGGGAAACUGCCUGAUGGAGGGGGAUAACUACUGGAAACGGUGGCUAAUACCGCAUAACGUCGCAAGACCAAAGAGGGGGACCUUCGGGCCUCUUGCCAUCAGAUGUGCCCAGAUGGGAUUAGCUUGUUGGUGAGGUAACGGCUCACCAAGGCGACGAUCCCUAGCUGGUCU